Non-coding RNA from Pelobates cultripes (western spadefoot toad), 511 nucleotides. The record is from the annotation of a GenBank genome assembly. NCBI's taxonomy places the organism in Eukaryota, Metazoa, Chordata, Amphibia, Anura, Pelobatidae.
AGGAACUUGCUAAAUUCUUGCAAGUUACCUGGCAGUUUCAUAUACCCUAUCAUCCACAGAAUACAGGGGUAGUUGAAAGGAUGAAUAGGACUAUUAAGGAAAAGCCCAGAAUUUACCCAGGAACAUGGGUAAAUUGGACUAGAUAUCUACCAGCUAUUUUAGCUGAGAUAAGAGUGAUUCCUCACAAGGUGACUAAAUUAUCUCCAUUUGAGAUUUUGAUGGGAUGACCUUUUCCCACACCCUGGGCCAGGGAACUGCUUGUUAUAAUGUCUGGGGAUUUACAGCUAAUACAAGAACAAUAUGUACAGGAGUUGUUGAUAAAACUGAAUGGUAUGUAUGACAAUGUUUCUUCGCAGUUUUCCCUUACCUUCACAGGAACCUACUCAUUCAUACCAGCCCGGUGACAAGGUGUAUAUCCGUCAGUUGAACAGGACCAAGAAAGGAGGAUACCCUUUUGGACCACCUGCUACUGUGAUUGCUGUACCCAUAACCGCUGUCCUCACAGAUUCCC